AUUAGUAGUUGCCCACUUCUAUGGAAAUUUGGCGGGCCUCUUCGGCUAUAGCCUCAAACAAAAAUGAAACUUAUAAAGGUAAAAUAAAAAUAUAAGCCGCGGAAGCUGAUUCAAGUGCACAUGAACUGAUCAACGAUCACAGUAGUAAUCGUUGACCAUUCGCAUGUGCGUAGCUCGAGCGACAAACGUUUGUUUCGGGCAAAACCAGAGACGAGAGCAUGCUCUACUCGUACUAGUUUCGCCGUCGAUUUUUCAAAUUAGAUUUCCAGAAACAGGUUGGUCACUCGAAAACGCACCUACCUAACCAGAGACUGUGCCAACCUGCCCGGCCCUACCUACUUAUAAUAAGCAGACACACCAGAAAGUAUACUCUACCUAUGCUACCUAGCCCUAUAUUUAAAAAAUGGCAAAACAAGCACACCAACACACUCGCUCCAUGAUUCUCACACAAACGCUCAGGCGCAAAGGACCUAUACUAGAGAGGACGUCCCGGGUCGCCUCCAACACCCGAGCUUAGCAUACAACAUGCACGCUCUAAUUUACGUACCAUUUUCCUGAAAUCGACUGACGAAGGCUAGUAACCAUUGCGCGAAACUUGAUAAAACACGCGUAAAGAAAUUGUAUUGUUAAAUUAAAUCAACGAGAUCGGAGGGCAUCCAAUUUCUCCACUACUAUGGAAUUUUUCAUACUAACUAUGAAAAUGCCAAGAUUUAUGCAUGAUUAAGUGACAGGAGGAACAGAAAUGCAUGCGACUCACCGUUAGAAGCAGAGGAUCAGAAGCAUUAUGCCAUCAAAUCGCCGCGCUAUCCCAGCCAAUGUCACCAGGAAGACUAACAUCAAACAGGAACCGUUGAAAAUCCAAUGAUAGAAAUAGGGAUUGUGCAAAAUCUGUUACAGAACAAAAUACAAUGAGUGAUUGCUAAUUAUUUGGAAAGAAAGUAACUUUAGAAGAUUCUAACCAUCCAAAAUUUCAAUCAAACAAAAAGUAUUCAAAGAAAAAUAUACAGAACAAAUAUAAUUGAAGUACGAUACGUAAAGAUACUUACAUUCUUGGCUUUUGAG
Bombus terrestris (buff-tailed bumblebee) is the source of this 1062-nucleotide long non-coding RNA. RefSeq lists it as uncharacterized. NCBI's taxonomy places the organism in Eukaryota, Metazoa, Arthropoda, Insecta, Hymenoptera, Apidae. The record is from RefSeq and is a predicted model, not a curated record. The transcript has 4 exons.